UUUUGUUUUUUGUUUUUUGUUAGAGACUGCUGCAUUCCUACUGAGUUUCUCUGAACUGAAGGGUGAUGGUUCUCUCUGGCAGAGGGCAUCAUGGUCAGGCUUUUAACACAAUGGAGCACUCCUCUCAGGAGUCAAUCUUGCACCAUCAUUUUUCUGAUGGAGGGGAUUGUCAGGCCCAGCUUAAAUGCACACUGCUGCUCAGGAUAUAGGAGAUGACACAUUGUUUGGGAUUGAAGCUGGUGAAAAGGAAGACCAGAUCCAAACAGGCAGAGGAGAACAAAGACCAGGUGAUGCACUUAGUUGGGCUACCUGAUUAUGGUAUGGAACUGGGGUUCAGUCUGGAGAAGAGGAUGUUCAGGGGAGACCUUGUCACUCUUUACAGCCACCUGAAAGGAGGUUGUGGCGAGGGGGGGAUCAGCCUCUUGUCCCAGGUUCAUUGUCUAUGGCACCGUGAUUCCCUGCCCAGGAUGUCCUCCUUUCACCACUCGCUCUUCUUGUAUCAUCUCUGGGAAUGCUCAACCCAAACCCACCCUCCCUUCUGUCAGCUUGUUUAUAGAUCCCACUGUUGCAGGGCACUUCAAGAAGAACUUGGGCAGCCAUCACAGCAGAAGAGGCUUUCCUGCUGGGCUCCAUGCACAGCUCAGAAAGCUGAAUUUCCAGUGUUGAGGGGUUAGACUAAUUCUUAGAGUAACAAUAUACAUAUUUCUGUGAAAGCUCAAGGUCAGAUUUGUAUUUGUGUUCUCCAUUUGGAAGCUACUCUGCUCGGCCUCCCUUUCCCUGUAACUUUAUAUUGCUGUAAAUACAAUCCUUUGGUCAUGCAAAAGCUGUAUUUUUAGCAAGCUCUGCUUGGCUCCUACCUAGGGGAGUGCAACUGUGAAGUUCAGCCCAGCCCCACAGCCCCUGCCCCAUCCCCCCUCCAGGGGGAUGUCCACUCCCGUUGGAUGACACACUCAGAAAUGCCAACGCUACUGUUGGAUAAAAACCUGAACUGCUUCACUUCUGAGAGUUUUCUCAAAGCACCCUGACAAAGCAAAUUCCCUCUGAGAUUUUCUCACCAUUCUGCUCAUACAGUUGCUUUCUUUCAGCCACCCUUGUAGACAAAAAGGGAAGCCCUUCUGUGUGAAUCCAGAAAACACAACCAAAACUUAAAUAGAGCUUAUAAGCAGGAGGGAAAUCAACAUUAUACACAGAUAGAUAGUGAUUGGAUGAAGGAGCUUUAAACUAAACGAGGGGAGAUUUAGGUUAGAUGUUAGGUGGAAAUUCUUUCCCCAGAGGUUGGUGAGGCGCUGGCACAGCUGCCCAGAGAAGCUGUGGUGCCCCAUCCCUGGAGGCGCUCAAGGCCAGGUUGGAUGGGGCCCUGGGCAGCCUGAGCUGGUGGGGGGCAGCCCUGCUUAUGGCAGGGGUUGGAAACAGAUGGUCUUUGAGGUUCCUUCAACCCAAGCCAUGAUCCUAUGAUGAAAGCAGCUGACAAGCAGGCAUCACCCCAGUCUUCAUCGGAAAAUGCUGUGAUUCUCUGGGACUUGUGUGGUAUUAUCCUGUGCAGCCUUCACAGUGGCAAAGGUGACACAAAGACCCAGUCUCUGGUGGAAGGGGACAGGCAGUGCAAGCAAUGCUGUGAGUGAAAAUGGGAAAGGAUAUGUAACUAGUUUCCCAAAACCUGGGCAAUUGUUCCCACCUUUUGCCCAUAUGCUGAGGGGGUUUACAUUUUGGAAGAGGAGUGGUGAUAUAGAGACUCCCCUCAGUGACUUCUGGAGUGCCUAUGAGUUCUCUGGCAAGUGGGUAUUUCUUCUAGUUCCAUCAUCCUUCCAGUGUCUUUUCCCUCCUUUUCCUCAUUAGUACCUGGAUUGUAGGCAAAUCCUUACUUUGUUUGGCUAGUAGAGGUAGUACAAACAUUUAACAUUUCUUUGUCUCCAGCUUCAAGAGGUUGGAAAAAAUGAGUCAAUGUUUACAGCUGCUUUAGCCAGAGUAGAGCAAAAAUCCAAAGGUGAACCUCUUUUGAGUUUUUCAUAUAUAAAGAACACAAAGAGAGGGAGGUCUUUUCAUCACUGUGAAAAGUCUUGAAAUGGCUUGAUUAUUAUUAUUAUUAUUUUUCAGAAGAAGAAGAAAAGCUCACUAUUUUAAGACAUCACUAGAGGAAUGAAAUUGACAAGCCUCUAUCCAACUGAAUGUUUAAAUUUUGAAAGGAAAAAGAAAUACAGCAUGACUGACACGGUCCUUUUAAAACACAUAAUACGCUGAACUUAACAUGACAUUUCCGUGGGUGUUAGUCUAAAAAGCUAUCUUUAUAUGUAACAUAGCAGAUGAACUAUGGAAGGCAAGGUUGUAUCUGUAUGCAUUGUUGCUCAGUAGUACUACAGGACUGAGAAACCUGGCAAACUUGCUACUUAAAUUCCCAAGAGAAGAGGUUGGAGUAUUCCUGCUCUUUCAAACACUGAAAAAGUUUGCUUUAGACUAAAUUUAUAUAUAUUGUGUUAGAAUGAAAAGAGCUUGGUGUUAAAAAGCUGCAAAUCCCAGCCCAGUUCAUCCCUAAAGAAGUGAGGUGCUCUUGGAGAAGUGCUACACAGGGACCUGGUGGAGUGAAGGAGGUGCAGCUCUGACUCUCAUCAGUACUCGUUGUCUCUUCCUGCUGAGGAAGCAUUUGUUGUCUUGUUCCUAGUAAAAUUAGGAGAGGGCUGGGGUCACAUAACCAGCCCCUGACCCGGCUUGCUGGUAGGAAGAGGUGAGAAACAGUAGUGGGAUUUUCAUGGCCCUUAGAGUAGGAUCAAGGAGUGAUGGUAGCAGUGGGGACUCCUUUAUAGAACAAUAGCAUCCUUCAGCUCCAAAUGGAGAUCUCUUGGGAAAGAAGAGCUUCCACUCAUUGCUCCAAAGAGCACAGAUGUAAAAUGCUGCAGAAUAGAAGUAUUUCAGAAACACAGUUUCUAUCUAUAGUGAGAAAAUCAGCUUAUUCUUGCUGCCCCUUCUCCUCUGGUGGUCCUCCAAUUUCUCCUUUUUUAGGAGGAUUUGUCUCCAUGUAAGAUAUAUGGAGCAAAGCUCUAAGGGCUGACGUUUUGUCACACCUGCAGGAGGUAACUGAGGUGAGUGGGUCUCCCAACAUCAGUGGCCACCCUUGCAUGGAUAAUCUCCAGCAGCCAGCCUCCAGUCCUCUAGGAGCCAUGUGCAAUCAUGAGGCUUCAGGUCUCCUAGAAGUAGAGACCUUGCAGAUCCUCUACCCAUUUCCAUGCUAGUCUUACUGCAGCAUAUCUAGUGUACUAUCUACCACAUAAACCCACAUUCCUGUCCAACACUGAAGUGAAGAAUGACACAAUCACAGAAAUCUAAGAACAACUUAUUCUCAUCCUGUUACUGCUACCUUCUUUCUGUUUGAUUAUUCUUAUCAAGUGUCCCAUCUUUCUGUCUGUUUUUCUUCUUAUUUUUCUGGACUUCUGAGUCAACCUCACCCUUCCCUGUGGGUCUCUUUUUAGUUGUUCAAGCCUUCCUUGAUGAGCACUGGCUAAGAACUAGCCAGACACCCUUUGGCUCAGUUCAUCUCCUUACAGAGGAGAGGAGAUGAUUUGGCCAUUUUCUCUAACCAGCAGGAAGAAAAGGGUACCUCCACCUCCACAUCCCCACAGUAUGCUUUCCAUGAGCAGCUGUUUUCAUUUCAUUUUUCUUUCCCUGAAAUUCAUGUUUGCUUGUUCUGAAUUUCAAGAUGCCUACCCAGGCUCUUUUUAGCAGUGAGUUAGAGUAACAUAGGAUACAGUGGCAGCUAGAUGCACCUAUUAAUCAAAUUAAAGCAUCUUGCUAAAUUAAUUCAGAAAGCCUUGGUGCUGGCUGUUGUGAUUUCAUCAUGUCUCAUGACAUUCAAUAAUUUUGUUAUGGCUUUUCUCUCCAGAUUCAUGUGAUAAUGGAAGAAGCUGGGGUUUCACUUAGGAGGAAUUAGCAAUAAAGUAUCUAGAGCACCUGGCUAUAGAGAGUGAUUGGCAGAUGAGACCCAAGAGCGCCCUAAAGUCUCAGAUAAUCAGAAAGCAAAUAAAAAGCACCUGCAAUGAACAUUGGUUGGCUGAGCUUGCUGGGAUGGCCCUCACUCAAAAUGUGUUUGUCUGGCUGCUCCAGCAAAAAGGAGUUGUUGAGCACCAGAUUCUUGAAAAUGCUACAAUGCUUUCUGGAUAGCACCUUGUGGGAAGCCCAGAGGGGCGUAGGGAGUAAAGUGAUGAUCACUUGCUGCCACGCUGAGAAAUGAGAGUACUAAAGUACGCCACUAGAUGAAUGAAAUAUGGCAGAAAAUACAGUUUUAUGAACCAAGACUCUCUUGACAUAAAAGCUUAAAAAAAUGCAGGAUAUUAUACGGCAAGAGAGACACCUAAUAAACACACGGACAUAAAGACUGCACAGAUAUAGGAAGCAUUCAGACUGCAUGUAGGACUGGUAGAGGACCAAAGCAGUUUCUUUUCCUGUUGCAGAAAUCAACAGGCCUGGAACGCUCUAUGUUGUUAGCAGGAACAGUUUGCAAAGGCUUGCACAAAACCACUGUCAGAAAUAACUCAAAUGCAGAGAGGAAAAAAUUACUCGAGAGUUCUUUUGGGGAGGAUUAGGUUUAAAAUAAUUGCCAUUUAUAAAUUAAUUUCACAUCCUUUUGGAUUGCGGCCUACUCGCAUUUCAAGGCCUGACUGAAGCUGGCAGACAGGGUGGGCACUGAUUCCAAGGCCUGACUGCCAAGAGAAAAGAAAAUAUUAAAGUAAAAAAUUGGCAGUGAAAAAAGAAGGCCAGAGAAAUACAGGGAAAUAAGAUUUAGUUUAGGAAAAUUAUUACUUUCUGAGCCACGGACUGAUUCUAUGGCUGGCAUAUUAGUCAUGCUCUUACAUAGACUUGGCCUUUGUAAUCUAUGUCUGAAGAGAAACUGCUGAUCAGCGCAGCUUCUGCUGCUUUCAUAUUUUUAAAUCCACGAUCCAGUUAUUUUUAAUCGCAUUUGAAAAAAAAAAAAUAUUUCAAAGCCUAUUGAAGGAAGUGGGGACACCCUUCUCAACUUCAACAACUUUUAAUCAAGUUGUAUAAAAGAACACCUCACGUGUCUUAAAACUCCUGGCAUUUUGCCACCUGGGUCCAUGGCUCCUCCAUUCCUCCCACGUGGCAUUUCAGGAUCAUAGGAUGUCAGGAUCCACUCAAAGCCCAAUGGACACCCCUUGGUCCUUUUGCCUGGUGCUGGCUCAGACCUGAGUCAUGAGUUGACAGUGAAGACCUUUCCACAGACCCAUUGUUUGCAAAUUAUUUCUCCUGCGGCAUGGAGAGAAGAGAAAUUUAGGUUGGAUGUCAGGAAGAAAUCCUUUACUCAGAAAGGUGGUGA
Non-coding RNA from Phasianus colchicus (ring-necked pheasant), 5320 nucleotides. The record is from RefSeq and is a predicted model, not a curated record. Lineage: Eukaryota; Metazoa; Chordata; Aves; Galliformes; Phasianidae.